GCGGGCUUAGUUCAAUGGUAGAACGGCAGUUUUCCAAACUGCAUACGAGGGUUCGAUUCCCUUCGCCCGCUCCA
Molecule: transfer RNA, 74 nt
Filed under: Verrucomicrobiota bacterium
Lineage: Bacteria; Pseudomonadati; Verrucomicrobiota
Description: Verrucomicrobia bacterium (freshwater metagenome) tRNA-Gly
Rfam family: tRNA
About the family: Transfer RNA (tRNA) molecules are approximately 80 nucleotides in length.
Source: RNAcentral